Non-coding RNA from Podarcis lilfordi (Lilford's wall lizard), 75 nucleotides. The record is from the annotation of a GenBank genome assembly. NCBI's taxonomy places the organism in Eukaryota, Metazoa, Chordata, Lepidosauria, Squamata, Lacertidae.
AUCCUACAUAGCUCAGUUGGUUAGAGUGUGGUGCUCAUAGGGCCAAGGUUGCAGGUCCGAUCCCCGCAUUGGACA